UGUGCAGACAGAUGUGCUCACUGGCUGUGUGCAAUUAGAUUAUUCCAUGGCUUUGCUGGACCAUGUGAGCUGAGCUAGCACUUGCCUCAAUGUGUCAUUCCAUCUCUCCUCCCGUCUGCUGCCUGUGCUGCUGCGCUGUGACUGUCCGGUGUCAGUGUGCCCGCCUGGGAACUCCUGCUUCAGGUGAGUGUUGGUGGCCUUGCAUGAGAAAUGAAGAAUAGUGAAGACAGAAAUAUAGACGUAGAGGAUGGAUGAGUGGUUUUUCUUCAUCCUGUGUUCUUUGGCUGGAAAAUGGGUGUUGUGGAGCAGCUUCUCUCUGCAAACUGUUCUUCACUUAUACUGUUUCUACAUCAGUGAUAACUGUGCAACUAUUAAUACUGAAAGUAAGGGCAGCAGCUGCACGCUCUACAUCAGAUGGAUCCGUGACUCUUCCAGCAAGAAGCAAGCACAGCCAUCAAAACAUACUGUUGGUGGUGUCUGAUGUUGUGUUUCAAGAGAGACUUUUUCUGAGGAGCAAUGAGUUGCUCCUCUG
This 532-nucleotide long non-coding RNA is filed under the name Zonotrichia albicollis (white-throated sparrow). RNAcentral describes it as "lncRNA (ENSZALG00000001008.1)". The record is from RNAcentral. Lineage: Eukaryota; Metazoa; Chordata; Aves; Passeriformes; Passerellidae.